Long non-coding RNA from Carassius carassius (crucian carp), 441 nucleotides. RefSeq lists it as uncharacterized. The transcript is spliced from 3 exons. The record is from RefSeq and is a predicted model, not a curated record. Lineage: Eukaryota; Metazoa; Chordata; Actinopteri; Cypriniformes; Cyprinidae.
CAGUGGCAUGGAUGAUAAAGUGUGAGUCAUACUCUUUUAGAUGCAAUCAACCCGAACCUGCCUUUUGGCUAACUUUUUUUCUCCCGUCAAAUUUCAGAUCACAUCAGAAAAGCAUACAUUUUUUAAUAAAAAAUAAGGAAAUAAUAAAAAAGUGUAAAAAAUAGAGUAUUGGGUAGAAAUUGAUGCAACACUUCCUUAAUGCGCUCAUAGCUAUAAUAAAUCUGAAGCGUUGUUUCAUGAUAAUUUUAUGAAUAUAGUUACGUUGGUGCCAUGACCCUGGUGGAAGUAAGGUUUAGUUUAGCACUGGAGGCCAGCUAAUACACUCUCUCAAGAGGCAGAAUAGAGGCUUCGGUCUUUAGCAUCCUUGCUAGAGCUCCUGCCUCCCAUGAAACACUGGUUCAAAACCUGCUCAGAGCAGGGUUACAUUUAAGGUGCAGUAUA